Zophobas morio is the source of this 230-nucleotide long non-coding RNA. RefSeq lists it as uncharacterized. The transcript is spliced from 3 exons. NCBI's taxonomy places the organism in Eukaryota, Metazoa, Arthropoda, Insecta, Coleoptera, Tenebrionidae. The record is from RefSeq and is a predicted model, not a curated record.
GCGGGACAAUUUCGCGCCGCUCUUAAAACGGUGAUUAUUUUUGUGAAAGUGCUUUCCUGAUUAUUUCCAGCCCUUUUUUAAAACUAUUGGGAUAUUUACCCCCAUUCUGGUGGAGGCGCCGGGUGAUAAGAAAAAUCUUUAGUGCAAGAAAUCGACUCUUUGGGGUGAAGCUGUACAAGAUCUACAAGUAUAGCCAAAUUCCCGUGUUGGACUCCGACAGGAAAUGGCCU